GGGACACGUGGUAUCCUGUCUGAAUAUGGGGGGACCAUCCUCCAAGGCUAAAUACUCCUGACUGACCGAUAGUGAACCAGUACCGUGAGGGAAAGGCGAAAAGAACCCCGGCGAGGGGAGUGAAAAAGAACCUGAAACCGUGUACGUACAAGCAGUGGGAGCACGCUUAGGCGUGUGACUGCGUACCUUUUGUAUAAUGGGUCAGCGACUUAUAUUCUGUAGCAAGGUUAACCGAAUAGGGGAGCCGAAGGGAAACCGAGUCUUAACUGGGCGUUAAGUUGCAGGGUAUAGACCCGAAACCCGGUGAUCUAGCCAUGGGCAGGUUGAAGGUUGGGUAACACUAACUGGAGGACCGAACCGACUAAUGUUGAAAAAUUAGCGGAUGACUUGUGGCUGGGGGUGAAAGGCCAAUCAAACCGGGAGAUAGCUGGUUCUCCCCGAAAGCUAUUUAGGUAGCGCCUCGUGAAUUCAUCUCCGGGGGUAGAGCACUGUUUCGGCAAGGGGGUCAUCCCGACUUACCAACCCGAUGCAAACUGCGAAUACCGGAGAAUGUUAUCACGGGAGACACACGGCGGGUGCUAACGUCCGUCGUGAAGAGGGAAACAACCCAGACCGCCAGCUAAGGUCCCAAAGUCAUGGUUAAGUGGGAAACGAUGUGGGAAGGCCCAGACAGCCAGGAUGUUGGCUUAGAAGCAGCCAUCAUUUAAAGAAAGCGUAAUAGCUCACUGGUCGAGUCGGCCUGCGCGGAAGAUGUAACGGGGCUAAACCAUGCACCGAAGCUGCGGCAGCGACGCUUAUGCGUUGUUGGGUAGGGGAGCGUUCUGUAAGCCUGUGAAGGUGUGCUGUGAGGCAUGCUGGAGGUAUCAGAAGUGCGAAUGCUGACAUAAGUAACGAUAAAGCGGGUGAAAAGCCCGCUCGCCGGAAGACCAAGGGUUCCUGUCCAACGUUAAUCGGGGCAGGGUGAGUCGACCCCUAAGGCGAGGCCGAAAGGCGUAGUCGAUGGGAAACAGGUUAAUAUUCCUGUACUUGGUGUUACUGCGAAGGGGGGACGGAGAAGGCUAUGUUGGCCGGGCGACGGUUGUCCCGGUUUAAGCGUGUAGGCUGGUUUUCCAGGCAAAUCCGGAAAAUCAAGGCUGAGGCGUGAUGACGAGGCACUACGGUGCUGAAGCAACAAAUGCCCUG
Molecule: ribosomal RNA, 1182 nt
Filed under: Escherichia coli
Lineage: Bacteria; Pseudomonadati; Pseudomonadota; Gammaproteobacteria; Enterobacterales; Enterobacteriaceae
Description: partial 23S ribosomal RNA
Rfam family: Bacterial large subunit ribosomal RNA
Source: RNAcentral